This 974-nucleotide small RNA is filed under the name Pongo abelii (Sumatran orangutan). RNAcentral's name for it is "retained intron". The record is from RNAcentral. Lineage: Eukaryota; Metazoa; Chordata; Mammalia; Primates; Hominidae.
GAUAAUCGGGGUGGCCGGGGCUGAAGUGAGCGGAGCAGGAGCCCUGGGGAGCGUGGUCCCUGCCCUUCCGCGCCUCGAACCAUCGCUACCGCCCUUCGGAACCGGUGCAGCAGCCGAUCAGAUCGAUCAUGGGGCUUUGUAAGUGCCCCAAGAGAAAGGUGACCAACCUGUUCUGCUUCGAACAUCGGGUCAACGUCUGCGAGCACUGCCUGGUAGCCAAUCACGCCAAGUGCAUCGUCCAGUCCUACCUGCAAUGGCUCCAAGAUAGCGACUACAACCCCAAUUGCCGCCUGUGCAACAUACCCCUGGCCAGCCGAGAGACGACCCGCCUUGUCUGCUAUGGUGAGGCCUUGGCAUCUCGGGGGGAUCAGGCCAGCCUCAGGGGCCAGCUUGGUGACUGAUUUCCAGGCCCUCCUCAAGCAGCAGGACAGUGAGUCCCCCAAGUCUCAGAGCCCAGAUUCUAGUCCUGUUAAAGUUCCUUACCUGCUGUGUAAGUUCAGGCAAGUUAUUCUUCCUUUCUAGGCCUGUCUUUCCUAAAAAUUAAAGCUCCUAGUUCCUCUCCUAAAAAUUAAGCCCUGCCAAUCUGGAGGUUUGAGCGAGAACCAGUCAAGCUUACGGGUAUGCUGGUGGCUGUGACUAUUAGCUAGCCAGACCGGCAUGUCGCUUUCAGAUAUUCAGGAUCCACCACUGAUUCCAAGGCUAAACAGAGAGGAAGUGAGUGUCCCACAUUAAAGUUAGCUAAAAGAAGUCAGCAGACAUAUGUGUCAUGACUUUGACCUGAAUCUGGGGUAAGAGCCUUAGCUCCAGUUUUUGAAGGAGCUCAUGCAAGAGGCAACUCCAUAUGUGUUUCUCCUUGUGAGUGCGUGUGUGUACUUGCAGGCACUUAAUGUACAUUGUGUGUUUAAAUGAGUGUUAGUGUGUUGAUUAGUACUUGGGGUGAAUGAAUGGGUAAAUGUAUGUACGUGAACAUAUGA